This 28-nucleotide small RNA is filed under the name Bombyx mori (domestic silkworm). Its description in RNAcentral is "ovarian small RNA-29191". The record is from RNAcentral. Lineage: Eukaryota; Metazoa; Arthropoda; Insecta; Lepidoptera; Bombycidae.
UCGUAUCUAGCGGUGCGACAGUGUUCGA